Molecule: long non-coding RNA, 305 nt
Organism: Alnus glutinosa
Lineage: Eukaryota; Viridiplantae; Streptophyta; Magnoliopsida; Fagales; Betulaceae
Exons: 2
Source: RefSeq, a predicted model, not a curated record
CCGACGACCCGGUUCUUCCUGUGCGUUUUCUGGUGGCUUUUCCGGUGGAUUUUCUGAUUAAGUCCUCAAGGUGUUUUGGAGAUUUGUUUCGAGCUGUUCAAUUGGAUGGGUAUUGGAAUGUUAUUUGGAGGAUUGUGAUGUGAACUGUUUAUGGGUUCUUUGGCCGACUAUGUAUCGUUUUGGUUAUUUGAUUGGUAGGCAAUGGGUUUUGGUGUUUUUAUUUCAGUUAUGUUAUAUUUGAGAGAUAGGUAUUGGUAUUUGGGUUGUUCUGACCAAAUAAAUUUUUAAGUUUUGCUGUUGGUUGA